UUAUAAUGCAAAAAAAAGUUCAACAAACUGUUUUUAAUGUGAUUGUUGAGCUAUUAUUAAAGACAAACAUUUGAUAUUUUGAAUGAAUUCCAGAAUGGCACAGUACACACUCAGUCAGUCAGCCGUAGUGACAAGUUAGUCUUUACUUUAUUUCAGCUUUUGAUUACAUGGCAAUGAUAGAAACCUCAAAUCAAACACUACGAAACAAAAAGAAAAAUGGCUAAUAAUAACAUCAUAUUGCUACAUUAAAACUCCAAAAUAACAUGAAAAAAAAAACAGAUAAAUCCACUAUACAUUUAAGUAUAUACAACCUUGAUAAAUAACCAGUAACCAAAUUCUGUCUAGAUUUCUGAUUGUUUUAUUUGCGGUUUCCUUGUCAUCUCUAUAAGCAGUCUGCUGAGACGAGGCUAGGAGAAACUAAUCAGGGAAACAGGGCUAUGUGCUAUGGAAGCAGAUUCUUGGCACAAAAAAAAUAUUGAAAUAAAACUAAUACUGAUGAAUAAUUUGUCAAUAUCAAUGCUUCUUUAUUUUUGGCAUGAAUGUGCCUCCAUAAAUGAGGAAAAACAUGAAUAACAGACAGCCAGGCACUGAUCAAAGAGUAGAGAAGGUUUUAUGCACAAAUAAAGCUGCAUUUGCUGGAUGCCAUUGUGAUGCCAUGUACGAUUCCACUUUAAAAACACAUCAUGUAUACCAAAGCUGACUUAAGAGGUCUUGCACUGGGAGAAUAGUUCACCACUAUGGAGCAUAGUGGUACAUUCCUGAUCAGAGUAGUUCACCACUAUGGAGCAUAGUGGUACAUUCCUGAUCAGAGUAGUUCAGCACCAUGGAGCAUAGUGGUACAUUCCUGAUCAGAGUAGUUCAGCACUAUGAAGCAUAGUGGUACAUUCCUGAUCAGAGUAGUUCAGCACUAUGGAGCAUAGUGGUACAUUCCUGAUCAGAGUAGUUCACCACUAUGGAGCAUAGUGGUACAUUCCUGAUCAGAGUAGUUCACCACUAUGGAGC
Molecule: long non-coding RNA, 1002 nt
Organism: Oncorhynchus tshawytscha (Chinook salmon)
Lineage: Eukaryota; Metazoa; Chordata; Actinopteri; Salmoniformes; Salmonidae
Source: Ensembl